This is a long non-coding RNA of Fukomys damarensis (Damara mole-rat), 455 nucleotides long. RefSeq lists it as uncharacterized. The transcript is spliced from 2 exons. NCBI's taxonomy places the organism in Eukaryota, Metazoa, Chordata, Mammalia, Rodentia, Bathyergidae. The record is from RefSeq and is a predicted model, not a curated record.
AACUCGUGUCCUUGUGCUUGCAAGGCAGGAAUCCGAACCACUGAGCUAAAUCCCCAGCCUGAAUUCAAGUGUACUUAAGAUGCUUUUCAAGUCUCCGUAAUAUUUAUGAAGAACUAUCCUGAAAUGACACUGUGUAAUUCUGGUUAGAUCUGGCUCACAGCUGAUUCAAUGGACCAAUAUUAGCAAUCAUACUUGAUAUAAAAGGAUCUGGAACAACAAUAAAGCCCUGAAGGCCCUAAUACAAAGCUGUCAGAUCAUCGUCCUGAAGCGCUGCACGCCGUGGAAAACACCCCGGUGGUUCUGGGAGUCGCUAAGUUCUCACCAGAAUUCCGGGGCCAGGUGUUCUGUCCUCUGUCACCAGUCUGACUUAUGAAGAGUUUGCACCUGGGGAUAUCAGGUGGACACCGAGCUGCUGUCUCCUAAUGAGAGGCGAUUUCAUUAAAAACCUUAGUGAA